CGUAGGUGGCGAGCGUUGUCCGGAAUUACUGGGGCGUAAAGGGAGCGUAGGCGGUUUUUUAAGUGGGAUGUGAAAUCCCCGGGCUUAACCUGGGAAUGGCAUUCCAAACUGGGAAACUAGAGUGCAGGAGAGGAAAGUGGAAUUCCAAGUGUAGCGGUGAAAUGCGUAGAGAUUUGGAGGAACACCAGUGGCGAAGGCGACUUUCUGGACUGUAACUGACGCUGAGGCUCGAGAGCGUGGGGAGCAAACAGGAUUAGAUACCCUGGUAGUCCACGCUGUAAACGAUGAAUACUAGGUGUUGGGGGCUAAGCCCUCAGUGCCGCAGUUAACACAUUAAGUAUUCCGCCUGGGGAGUACGAUCGCAAGAUUA
This 370-nucleotide ribosomal RNA is filed under the name uncultured organism. RNAcentral's name for it is "bacterial SSU rRNA". It matches the Rfam family "Bacterial small subunit ribosomal RNA", at positions 526 to 896 of the family's 1533-position model. The record is from RNAcentral.